Molecule: small RNA, 178 nt
Filed under: Chrysemys picta bellii (western painted turtle)
Lineage: Eukaryota; Metazoa; Chordata; Testudines; Emydidae
Description: TUC338 (ENSCPBG00000001743.1)
Source: RNAcentral
AUGACUACACUGGAAAGGUAGGUCUUGUACUGAUCACCAUAAAAGAUAUAGCACAGAUAGCGGCAGUGUAAGUUUCUCCACAGUGUUUCAUUUAUAUGCCUCCAUCCUGACCUAGAGAGAUGAAUUCUAGAGUUGAGAGGGUAGUUCAGUUUCUAUGUCCAUUCAAUCAAAGGAUUAU